GAGAAGAAAGGAAAGGAUACACGAAUAUCGAAAAUGAUGCUGUUUUAAGGUGACUCAAUUGUUUUUUGUGCGUGGACAUAAAAUUUUAAAAAGAGUUCUUCCGGUGAAAAAUAUAUAAACCUGGGUAAAAGAUAAAAAUACACACAGACUUAUCUGAUUUAGAUAACAUCAACUGCUUGGUUAAACUUGUGAAGAAAAUCUUCAAUAAUAUUGAUGGCUUCCACUAAGACACGGGUUGCACUUCUGGUUAUUGUCGCUCUGUAUGCAUAUCUAACAAGUAAAACAGACGCCCAUUUACAAAUAGGAAGAAAGGAAUUCAAACCAGUCAGACAAGAACUUAGAGAAUUGCUUCAAGACCAAAUGCAUCCCGUCUUCAGGAGUAACACGAACAGGCUGAAACCAGGACAAAAAUGGGAGUCUACAAUUGAAGAAAUUCCAGAGUUGUACAAACAGGGAACACUAGAAGACUAGGCAGUCAAUCUACUGUUUACAAUACAUAGGCGAGACACAACUAAGACUCAACAGGUGACCAGUUAACAGACCCACCCCAUCCUCCUAGCGUUUUAAAGAGCUAUUAUGAACCUUUAUUUUAGAAAAUGGUAAAACAUCCCAUUACAUGUACGAUACAACACUAACAAUGCAAAGUUUGAUUUUAUAAUUGCACACAUAAAUAGGUAAACGAAGACAACCUAACUAAAUAACAGAAAGUUAUAUAGGUUUAACUGCUCUCAAGCCAGAGAUAAUGAGAGUUAUAAAUGAUAAAAUUAGAAAACCUUUAUAUACCCUCGGCCUUUAAUCCACAUACAGGCCUUAUUCCCAAGGUAAUCACUUGUACCCAGUCCUUCCGUGGAUGUUACCGCCGAUAUUAUGGAUAUGGAUAUUUUUCGUGUAAGGUGAAAAUGCGUGUGAAAUCCGUGUCACGGGCUUGGAUUUCCGAAACCGAGAUUGAUCUAAGGUAAAUUUAAAAGAGGUUACCUUGGGAAUCAGAUUUAUAUACUCCUCGUGCUCUCCUUGUCUCCAGACUGUGAGUGAUUAUUGCUUUACACGGUAUACAAGUGUCUUUCCUGACUUUGCGUCGUAGAAAUGAUAAUAGCUUGUGAAUCCGUGCUUAAAAUAUAUAUUUACUUGUUUUGUUCUCUAAUGUAAAUAAUAAAGAUUUCAUUUUUACCCGUA
Molecule: long non-coding RNA, 1173 nt
Organism: Orbicella faveolata
Lineage: Eukaryota; Metazoa; Cnidaria; Anthozoa; Scleractinia; Merulinidae
Source: RefSeq, a predicted model, not a curated record